RNAcentral lists this ribosomal RNA (750 nucleotides) under Staphylococcus equorum. RNAcentral's name for it is "bacterial SSU rRNA". It matches the Rfam family "Bacterial small subunit ribosomal RNA", at positions 8 to 740 of the family's 1533-position model. Lineage: Bacteria; Bacillati; Bacillota; Bacilli; Caryophanales; Staphylococcaceae. The record is from RNAcentral.
AGAGUUUGAUCAUGGCUCAGGAUGAACGCUGGCGGCGUGCCUAAUACAUGCAAGUCGAGCGAACGGAUAAGGAGCUUGCUCCUUUGAAGUUAGCGGCGGACGGGUGAGUAACACGUGGGUAACCUACCUAUAAGACUGGAAUAACUUCGGGAAACCGGAGCUAAUGCCGGAUAACAUUUGGAACCGCAUGGUUCUAAAGUAAAAGAUGGUUUUGCUAUCACUUAUAGAUGGACCCGCGCCGUAUUAGCUAGUUGGUAAGGUAACGGCUUACCAAGGCAACGAUACGUAGCCGACCUGAGAGGGUGAUCGGCCACACUGGAACUGAGACACGGUCCAGACUCCUACGGGAGGCAGCAGUAGGGAAUCUUCCGCAAUGGACGAGAGUCUGACGGAGCAACGCCGCGUGAGUGAUGAAGGUUUUCGGAUCGUAAAACUCUGUUAUUAGGAAAGAACAAAUGUGUAAGUAACUGUGCACAUCUUGACGGUACCUAAUCAGAAAGCCACGGCUAACUACGUGCCAGCAGCCGCGGUAAUACGUAGGUGGCAAGCGUUAUCCGGAAUUAUUGGGCGUAAAGCGCGCGUAGGCGGUUUCUUAAGUCUGAUGUGAAGGCCCACGGCCCAACCGUGGAGGGUCAUUGGAAACUGGGAAACUUGAGUACAGAAGAGGAAAGUGGAAUUCCAUGUGUAGCGGUGAAAUGCGCAGAGAUAUGGAGGAACACCAGUGGCGAAGGCGACUUUCUGGUCUGUAAC